UACGGAGGGUGCAAGCGUUGUCCGGAAUCACUGGGCGUAAAGGGCGCGUAGGCGGCUCAUGAAGGCUGUGGUGAAAGUCCGGGGCUCAACCUCGGAUCGGCCGUGGCGACUCGUGGGCUGGAGCACUGUAGAGGCGGGUGGAAUUCCGGGUGUAGCGGUGGAAUGCGUAGAGAUCCGGAAGAACACCAGUGGCGAAGGCGGCCCGCUGGGCAGUGGCUGACGCUGAGGCGCGACAGCGUGGGGAGCGAACGGG
Molecule: ribosomal RNA, 253 nt
Filed under: uncultured bacterium
Lineage: Bacteria
Description: partial 16S ribosomal RNA
Rfam family: Bacterial small subunit ribosomal RNA
Source: RNAcentral